Paramormyrops kingsleyae is the source of this 2160-nucleotide long non-coding RNA. RefSeq lists it as uncharacterized. The record is from RefSeq and is a predicted model, not a curated record. NCBI's taxonomy places the organism in Eukaryota, Metazoa, Chordata, Actinopteri, Osteoglossiformes, Mormyridae.
UUGUGCUUCAGGACUUCUCCUCCUCCUGCGUGCAGUCUGAAUAUGGCUGCCACCGCCGCUGACUUGGGAGGCUUGUGCUCUGUGCCUCUCAGGCCAAGGGAGCCAGAGCUGCGCCCAAAUGCUAGUGGGAGGGGGGAAGGGUUCAGGAAGGGGGGGGGUCUGUUCGCGGCCUCACGCCUCCCUCGCUCCUGCUGCCUGUCCUGCCCGAGCCGGCGACAUCGGCCGGAGGUGGACGGUGCCCGGGACGCAGAAGAUGGCCGGACAAGCAGAAGGAGUAAAGCGCUGUGCCUUUUUUUUUCCUUCACCCGGUUUUUGCUCCCGUUCUGUGUUUUUUUUUGUUUGGCAUGGAGCAGGAGCCUCUUCCCGAGUGGAGUUGCUACGUCACAUCUCGCCAUGCCUCCGAACCAAUUGAAAAAUCAAGCGAUUCGAGGAACAUUAUAUACAUUCAAUCAGAGAAAAAAAACAACAACAUGAAGGACACAUAAGGAAGAAAUCCCAGACGUCCCUGCUAGGCUUUCGUAGAAGUAGGUAUUUAGAAGGCUCCUCUCUUGCUCCAGUGACAUCAGCUGGGCCCAGUACCCCCAGGCCCGAGGUGCCCAGUCCACUUGAACAUCAUGGUGGUCAUCCCUUGCAGAGCUGCUCUCUGUAAUAUGGUUUGGAGAGUCACUGCUGCCAGUGUGGUGUUGUGAUGGACACUGUGGCAGACGAGAGGCCCAAGGAGCGGGCAGGGGGACCACCGCUUCAUUUUUGAGAAGAGAAUGGAAAAUGCUGGAGUGGUCCAACAAGCCGAGAGCACUUUCCCCUCUGUAAUGUGCUUCCUCGUCCAGCAGCUCUGCAUCAUGGAAAAUGGCUCUUUGGCUUAGAACUUUGCAGAGGUGCCCGUGCCUGAAACGACAUCGUCCCAUCCAUGUCCAGUGCAGGACGGUCCUUCCAAGUCCCCAGAAACAUGUCUGUUUGAGUUCCUAAACUGAAAUAGCUCUCGGGAUCGGAUUUACGCACGGCUCCCGUGUUCCCACCCGGCCACAAAGCUAGGACCGAGCGCCUGCCACUGGCGGCAAGGCCCCAAGAGUAAGAUCCGUCAGCCAUCUUCCUGGCCUGAUGCCCCCAAUGCAGAAAGAGCCUUUCUAGACUGGCGCUGUAUCAGGGAAAACUCCUGAGCUGUUUCGUCUCUGCCAGGAGCCAUUUACUGUCUGACAUGGGCAAUGGUCUAUAGUCGGAUAAUUAUUAUGAAAUCGGAUGUUUUAUUAUUUUUGUUGUGGAUGUUGACAAUAGAAAGGGAGCUGGACUUAAUGUCAGUGGGGCAGAUUUGGAUACUACCUCUGAGUGCACGUUUCCCGGCUGGACCAUAUCCCGGUCACACUGAAAGCCUGAGCUUAAUACAGCAGGCCAGCCGAGUGUCACGUUGCAGACUCACUACCUUGAGCCCCGCCGUUUCUCCCUGCUGGGACUCUGCUGUGUGUCUCUACACAAAUUAGCGUUUUUCAAGCCUUGCAUCCAGUGGUAUCGGAAGGAGUUUGACAUUGGGGGACCCCCCCCCGUCCCACCUAUUUCCGACACCCCUACUGGUAUCUCUAUGGUACUUGAGUAACUCUUUCGAGUCUAGUGCAUGGUACUCAUGUGGCUCCCUCUAAACGCUGCUCAAGCACUGUGGCCUGUGGGAGGUGCUAUAUCAGAUCAGUUCCCAGGGUCUCAUGGGCCUGACUUCUGCUGCAGGGGAAGCCCGUUCAGCCUGGCUGCCGCUCACACUCUUCGUCGGCUCACGUGCUACAGGCACGUAACAUCUGGGUAACAUCUGAACCAGGUUGCACUGCCAGGGGCACAGGGAGUGGCGACACCGGCAUCAGGAGAAUGCAUGCCUCGAGCAGGAGCAAGAGGAGCAGACGGGGCUCCUGACUCAGGUCCAUGGGCAGAGGGCAACCCCCUUCUUUAUUAAAAUUUCAGGACAUUUAUUAAACCCAAGACACAACAUGGCAGCAGCACUGCACACCUUCCAGCACCCUGACACCAGACUGUCACGUGAUCCCAUUAUCUAAAAAUAUAUUUACAGUGUGUUUGCUCUGUUUAGUACCAUACAAUGGAUCUCAUUAUCAUUUAACUUACUAUAACAUUAAUUUCUCUCUGUGUGCAACCAGUUUUUUAAAUAUAAAGCUUUCUGCAAAG